This 4463-nucleotide long non-coding RNA is filed under the name Canis lupus familiaris (dog). RNAcentral's name for it is "lncRNA (ENSCAFG00845013442.1)". The record is from RNAcentral. Lineage: Eukaryota; Metazoa; Chordata; Mammalia; Carnivora; Canidae.
UUAUUGGAAGUUUACAAAUGUAUUACAGACAUCAGUAAAACAUAUCCAUUUUACAGGGCACGGAUCUCAAGCAAAGUGUUCACAACAGUCUCUGGCAGAGCCCACACCAAAGGCCCAUUGCAGACCUUCUUUACAAAUAGCUUGACACUCGACACACAAAACAGAGUCUGGCCUGCCUCACCUUCUCAGACCCUCUGAGGUUUUGUUUAUGCACUUGGAGUUAAAGCAGGAGAUGGGCAGAGCAACCCUGUACAGGAAAGAAUGUGUUUAGGAGAGGGAAAACUGCCAAAGUCCUAAUUUGCUAAGGAAAAUGAAAGACUCAUAGACCUUAGAAUGUUAAGUCAGGGUCCAUGGUAGAACCAAAAUGCUCUCUGGAAACACAUGAAUAUCAACUAGAGAGGCUGGAGAACAGAUCCUACUAGUGGGUAAAACUCUCCAAAAAUUUUUUAAAACGUGGGUCAGUGACCUAUUGAACACGAAUGGCCAAAUGCCCAGUAGGGUGAAGGGAUGUCUCCAAAAACUCUCAGGAUAGAACAAUUUUUUUUUUUCUAUCCUACAGAUCCAUCAUAUCUAAAUCACCAGAAAUGUUUUCCUACACUGCUUGACUUUCCUCCCUCCUUUUUUUUUUUAUUCCCCUUUGGGGAAAGCUAGUUUUGUCAGCAGGAAGUAAGCUUAUAAAAGAGUAUAGCUCCCAAUAGUGAGUCAUGGUUUAUGGCAGUCUUGUGUUGACUGGGCUACUAUUAUGAGAAAAUGGAAAAGGAAUCCAAUCCUUUCUUGGUCCUAACCCUUGACAACUACUUCCAAGUGGUCAAACAAGCCCCAGUGCUAAACGGUUGCUAAUAGCAACUCUCCUGGCAUGGAAUAUUCAGAUAACUGGUUUUAUUUCCCACUUUCCUUUGUCAUAGAUAGAUUCUCCUCCUUAGGCAUUUAGCAUCUGGUUUCUGUUAGACAGAAACAUACAAAGAGCACUUCUCCUUGGAAUUUAAAUAUUUGUGUUAUUUCUUGUUAGAAGGUGGGAUUAGACGAAGAAUAAGAUGGCCUCUUAUUUGACCUCUGCAAAAGGAUGAACAGAAGGCUGCCUGUAAUGAUUGGCCAAGAACACGGGAAUGCAAAAGGAGGCCAGAGAUUUGUCUUUGUUUUGCUUAAAGAAGUCAGCCUCCACUUUUAGCAUCCACAAAGGAACUGGGCAGUCACUUAAUAACUUAAAUGAACUCACAGUCAUUUAUGAACGAUGCUUCCUAAAAAGUUGGUGUACUCUUUGGGGCCAAUGGCAAAAGAUGGAAAGACAAAAAUCAGUUCACAAAUGAGAUUUGUUAUCAAAUAACCUCAGUUCUGAUCGACUGAUCCUAGCCAGUGGGAGUGUCACAAGGAUUUCUGAAGCUGCAUCCGUGCUCCCUGGGAAGGUGUACAGUGACAAAUUGGUUUUAUCUGCCGGGCUAUCAGGGAUAGCAGAGCAUGUGCAACAUACAUGUCAUCACCGGCUGCUUCUGAACUCAGCAAUGGCGAGUGGUACCCAAGAAGUGGAAAGCCACCGUAGGAGAAGGAAUGAUCAUUUGUUGCAGUGCAAAAGCAUGCCACAGAAUGGGACAAGAGGAUGAGAAAGAGCUGCCUUCUGAUCCCCUAUUGCAAAUACAAAAUUGCCUGUUCCCUGGGCUGGCUGAGGGCAGAAAGGAAGAAUGAGAGAUGAGAAGGUGAAUGUAGAAAGAAGGCAUCAAACAAGCAACACUAGGAAUUCCACCCGCCUUGAACCUGCACAGGACCAGGAAGCAUGGUCUCACCCCCACUCACCUUCACACUUGAUAGAGAUCCCGGAACUACAUGACAGAAGGAAGGGUUACCUGAAUGCCACACUCAAUGCCACCAGACUGCUAGGAAACCUGUUCCCGGUAUCAAGGGUUGUAUGAAUUGGCAGUGCCUUUCAGGAGAUGGACGGUGGCUACUUCUUCCUGGGAAAGAGCCAGUUCUGCUGCCACUGAAUUGAGGGCAGCGAGAGGAAAUGAACUGAACUCCAAAGCCGUGGUUUUAACCAAAAGACUAGAAGACCAAUAUGAAGAGAGGUAGGAAAAGCAAACCCAAGGCAUUAGAGAUGAGAGGAAACUAGCAAAAGAUUGCUUUUCUAGAACAGUCUAUCAAACAUGAAAUGAUGAUCCAGGAAGAGGUGAGUGUAAGCCCCACUCACAGGCCAAACUUGACAAGGAAGAGCUCGUGGUCAUGACGGAGGAAUCAGGUAACGACCUUAAUUAAGCUCUUGCCUCAGAAGAGAACGCAUUGAGUUUUAGGGAACGGGAUUCUGUGAUGCUAGGUGUAAGCUAUCAUUAACAGCUGGACUUCCUAAAACAAUGACAUCCUGCUCUCUCCAGGGCCUUCACUGGGAGGUCCCAUCAGCUUUGUGGCGAUUGGACCGUCCUCACGGGCAUUGUCUGUAAGGUGCCUGGCUGCACGUGGGGUGGGGAGAAGCAGCGGUGAAACACGUGGAGGUGAUCUUGUUUCUAGACGGUGCGACCCUGAGGCUCGCAUCUCACUAUGCUUCAAGCUCUGGCCAGUUCAGCGGCCGGAUGCUCCCUGGGCAGCUAGCUCUGAAAUCGCUUCUUCCUCCCAUCGCUUCAUGGGAUGUGGCUACUUGUGGACUUCCGGCCACCCUCUUCUUUCUGCUGAUAGUGGCUCAAGCCUCAUCUGGGGAAAGUAAGAGGAACUUUUGAAAAGGAUGGAGUUAGAAAGCAGCUUUUACCAGGAGAAUUUCUUUCAAUGGAUUCCAGGCCGCAGAGGAUAGACAUUAUUUUCAGCUUUUUUGCUAUGUUAAGCGAUCUACUUUUGUCUCUCUUUUCUUUUUCCAGAAUGCCUUUUUUUAUUCUCAAUCAAUCAAGGAACUCGAAACUCCAAAUUGGACUCGCCCGAUUUCUACCAGAAACCUGCCACUUCAGUAGCAUGGUGUUGCACAUUAUUUCUUAAUCGGUUUUUUGCCAAGCAGUUUACAAACUUACUAUACAAACGUAAUAGAGUUAAUUCUCCGGAGGCUUGGAUAAUUAAUGAAGCAUUUAGAUAUGAAGAUAGCAUGCGGAAAACAGCCACAACCAACAUUUGCAUUGCUUUUUUUUAAAAAAUCAGUGACAAUGACAAAUGUCAUAUUAAUACCUGAAAAGCAAAUUAUUUUAAUACAUCCUGAAUGGAGUGCCAUUUUCACGUCCUUUACAGCCUUCUUUUCCCCAGACCCAUUUGGGAUGGUGUCUGAAAAGCCACUUUUCACAUUCUCUCCAUAAAAAAAAAUACUAGAAAAUAUUAACUACUAUACUGAAAAGAGACCACGCUCACCUCACCAUGGCAGAUGGCCACUGAGAUACACCGUGUACUACAUCAACAGUACAUCUCACUAAAGGUGGGUCCUCCGAUGGAUUAUUUCUACUGCCACAAUCCAUUAAAGGGAGGAGGAGAAUGGAACAAAAAGCAAGCGCUUCAUUCGGAACUGAAGCAAGGUAGGAAGUUUUAUUUUACUAUAAACAACACAACCGUUAAAUGUCUUCUUCAAGCAAACUCACUUUUUUUGAGCCCAUUUUCUGUCUGACCAACAGUCCCCAAAGUUCAACAUGGAAAUCCCCCUCUGAAUAGCAUUUAUUUUUCAAGGUCAUUACCCUGAAAUCUCCUGAGCAGCUCCCUUUCCUGGGUUACCCAGACACUCUGGUUGUGGGGUGUGUUAAACUGGACUCUUUCCACAAGCACUGGGGUGGGGUGGGGGGCGUUCUUCAAGGUGGCAGUCACUUCCACUCUACUGCAUCUCCAGAAGUACUUCUUUGCUCUGACCUUCCCCUUCAGCCUCUACGCUUGACCUGCCUCCCGCUUUCCAAUUUCCUCGGUCCUUCUCCCCGCAUGACGUACAACCUAGGACACCCCAUCACUCCCAGAGCCCCACAGAACCUUCUGUCCUUAAAUGUCUACAGCUUCAGUUCAUUUGCACUGAGGACAACCGGUUGUCAGGCUAAGGCAGCUGUUCCGUCUGCCUUGGUAAAGGAAAGCAGAUAAUAUAAUCCAGGAAACAUGAGCACCAGAAAAUAAUGCCACACUCAAAGCAACGUCAUGCUGACAUCACACGACGGGUACCACUCACAGUCACUUUCAUUUUCCCCAAGGGACAGAUCAAGAGUGAGCAACUUCCACAUUCCUAGUGGGGACAGCAUUGUUGCUCACGGGACUUUACGGACACUGGUUGGUUUCUCUAAUUGGCAAAAGUUAACGUUUGCAAUUAAAAAAAAAAAUUACUAUCACUUUGUAGGGAAGAAAUUCUACCAAGGGUGGGAGCAGACUUAAGGAUGUCUCCUUAAGAUGGAAUGGAGCAUAAAAUGCUUUGGGUGUAAUAAUACUUUUUUUUUUUAGCCACAAAAAGCCAAAUUGAAUAAACUCCUUUGAAAAAAGGUCUCACUGACAUGUAACAAAUUUGUAUAGAAAAAAGAAAAAGAAAAAAAAAAAAAAAA